AUGUUCUCUGUAGCUCUGAUGCUGCUGCUGGCAGCUGGAUCCUGUGUGUACAGUAUUGAUCUCAUCCAGCCAGAAUCAGAGCUUGUUCGGCCUGGACAGUCUUUGAGCAUCACCUGUCGGGUCUCGGGUUAUUCUCUGACUGAUAACAGCUAUGCAACAGGUUGGAUCAGACAGCGUGAAGGAAAACCAAUGGACUGGAUCUUUUAUAAGUGGGGUGGAGUUGGAGAUGGAGGAAAUUUUUAUCAAAAUAAUGCUCUGAAAAACAAGUUCAGCUACAGCAGAGACUCUUCUGCUGGAACAGCGACAAUAACAGGACAGAAUCUGCAGCCUGAAGACACAGCUGUGUAUUACUGUGUCCGUUGCCGCACAGUGUCACAAACCACCACUAGACCUGCACAAAAACUCUGCUUCCAGCAAGACCCAACCACAUGUAGUGUGAACGGUCUCUUUAGUCUUUAA
This is a non-coding RNA of Cololabis saira (Pacific saury), 459 nucleotides long. NCBI's taxonomy places the organism in Eukaryota, Metazoa, Chordata, Actinopteri, Beloniformes, Belonidae. The record is from the annotation of a RefSeq genome assembly.